RNAcentral lists this ribosomal RNA (3029 nucleotides) under Staphylococcus saprophyticus. Its description in RNAcentral is "23S ribosomal RNA". It matches the Rfam family "Bacterial large subunit ribosomal RNA". The record is from RNAcentral. Lineage: Bacteria; Bacillati; Bacillota; Bacilli; Caryophanales; Staphylococcaceae.
AGAUUAAGUUAUUAAGGGCGCACGGUGGAUGCCUUGGCACUAGAAGCCGACGAAGGACGUUACUAACGACGAUAUGCUUUGGGGAGCUGUAAGUAAGCUUUGAUCCAGAGAUUUCCGAAUGGGGAAACCCAGCACGAGUUAUGUCGUGUUAUCGAUAUGUGAAUACAUAGCAUAUCUGAAGGCAGACGCGGAGAACUGAAACAUCUUAGUACCCGCAGGAAGAGAAAGAAAAAUCGAUUCCCUGAGUAGCGGCGAGCGAAACGGGAAGAGCCCAAACCAACGAGCUUGCUUGUUGGGGUUGUAGGACACUCUAUACGGAGUUACAAAAGAACAGACUAGACGAAUCAUCUGGAAAGAUGAAUCAAAGAAGGUAAUAAUCCUGUAGUCGAAAGUUUGUUCACUCUUGAGUGGAUCCUGAGUACGACGGAACACGAGAAAUUCCGUCGGAAUCUGGGAGGACCAUCUCCCAAGGCUAAAUACUCUCUAGUGACCGAUAGUGAACCAGUACCGUGAGGGAAAGGUGAAAAGUACCCCGGAAGGGGAGUGAAAUAGAACUUGAAACCGUGUGCUUACAAGUAGUCAGAGCCCGUUAAUGGGUGAUGGCGUGCCUUUUGUAGAAUGAACCGGCGAGUUACGAUUUGAUGCAAGGUUAAGCAGUGAAUGUGGAGCCGUAGCGAAAGCGAGUCUGAAUAGGGCGUUGAGUAUUUGGUCGUAGACCCGAAACCAGGUGAUCUACCCAUGACCAGGUUGAAGUUCAGGUAACACUGAAUGGAGGACCGAACCGACUUACGUUGAAAAGUGAGCGGAUGAGUUGUGGGUAGCGGAGAAAUUCCAAUCGAACCUGGAGAUAGCUGGUUCUCUCCGAAAUAGCUUUAGGGCUAGCCUCAAGUGAUGAUUAUUGGAGGUAGAGCACUGUUUGGACGAGGGGCCCUUAUCGGGUUACCGAAUUCAGACAAACUCCGAAUGCCAAUCAAUUUAACUUGGGAGUCAGAACGCGGGUGAUAAGGUCCGUGUUCGAAAGGGAAACAGCCCAGACCACCAGCUAAGGUCCCAAAAUAUAUGUUAAGUGGAAAAGGAUGUGGCGUUGCCCAGACAACUAGGAUGUUGGCUUAGAAGCAGCCAUCAUUUAAAGAGUGCGUAAUAGCUCACUAGUCGAGUGACACUGCGCCGAAAAUGUACCGGGGCUAAACAUAUUACCGAAGCUGUGGAUUGUCCGUAAGGACAAUGGUAGGAGAGCGUUCUAAGGGCGUUGAAGCAUGAUCGCAAGGACAUGUGGAGCGCUUAGAAGUGAGAAUGCCGGUGUGAGUAGCGAAAGACGGGUGAGGAUCCNNNNNNNNNNNNNNNNNNNNNNNNNNNNNNNNNNNNNNNNNNNNNNNNNNNNNNNNNNNNNNNNNNNNNNNNNNNNNNNNNNNNNNNNNNNNGGAAUCCCGUCCACCGAUUGACUAAGGUUUCCAGAGGAAGGCUCGUCCGCUCUGGGUUAGUCGGGUCCUAAGCUGAGGCCGAUAGGCGUAGGCGAUGGAUAACAGGUUGAUAUUCCUGUACCACCAUUAUUCGUUUUAAGCGAUGGGGGGACGCAGUAGGAUAGGCGAAGCGUACGAUUGGAUUGUACGUCCAAGCAGUGAGAUUGAGUGUUAGGCAAAUCCGGCACUCUUAAGAUUGAGCUGUGAUGGGGAGAGGAAAUUGUUUCCUCGAGUCGUUGAUUUCACACUGCCAAGAAAAGCCUCUAGCUAGAAUUGUGGUGCCCGUACCGCAAACCGACACAGGUAGUCAAGAUGAGAAUUCUAAGGUGAGCGAGCGAACUCUCGUUAAGGAACUCGGCAAAAUGACCCCGUAACUUCGGGAGAAGGGGUGCUCUUUAGGGUUAACGCCCAGGAGAGCCGCAGUGAAUAGGCCCAAGCGACUGUUUAUCAAAAACACAGGUCUCUGCUAAACCGUAAGGUGAUGUAUAGGGGCUGACGCCUGCCCGGUGCUGGAAGGUUAAGAGGAGUGGUUAGCUUCUGCGAAGCUACGAAUCGAAGCCCCAGUAAACGGCGGCCGUAACUAUAACGGUCCUAAGGUAGCGAAAUUCCUUGUCGGGUAAGUUCCGACCCGCACGAAAGGCGUAACGAUUUGGGCACUGUCUCAACGAGAGACUCGGUGAAAUCAUAGUACCUGUGAAGAUGCAGGUUACCCGCGACAGGACGGAAAGACCCCGUGGAGCUUUACUGUAGUCUGAUAUUGAAAUUCGGCACAGCUUGUACAGGAUAGGUAGGAGCCUGAGAUACGUGAGCGCUAGCUUACGUGGAGGCGUUGGUGGGAUACUACCCUCGCUGUGUUGGAUUUCUAACCCGCACCAUUUAUCAUGGUGGGAGACAGUGUCAGAUGGGCAGUUUGACUGGGGCGGUCGCCUCCUAAAGAGUAACGGAGGCGCUCAAAGGUUUCCUCAGAAUGGUUGGAAAUCAUUCAUAGAGUGUAAAGGCAUAAGGAAGCUUGACUGCGAGACUUACAAGUCGAGCAGGGUCGAAAGACGGACUUAGUGAUCCGGUGGUUCCGCAUGGAAGGGCCAUCGCUCAACGGAUAAAAGCUACCCCGGGGAUAACAGGCUUAUCUCCCCCAAGAGUUCACAUCGACGGGGAGGUUUGGCACCUCGAUGUCGGCUCAUCGCAUCCUGGGGCUGUAGUCGGUCCCAAGGGUUGGGCUGUUCGCCCAUUAAAGCGGUACGCGAGCUGGGUUCAGAACGUCGUGAGACAGUUCGGUCCCUAUCCGUCGUGGGCGUAGGAAAUUUGAGAGGAGCUGUCCUUAGUACGAGAGGACCGGGAUGGACAUACCUCUGGUGUACCAGUUGUCGUGCCAACGGCAUCGCUGGGUAGCUAUGUAUGGACGGGAUAAGUGCUGAAAGCAUCUAAGCAUGAAGCCCCCCUCAAGAUGAGAUUUCCCAACUUCGGUUAUAAGAUCCCUCAAAGAUGAUGAGGUUAAUAGGUUCGAGGUGGAAGCAUAGCGAUAUGUGCAGCUGACGAAUACUAAUCGAUCGAAGACUUAAUCAAAUUUUA